RNAcentral lists this ribosomal RNA (110 nucleotides) under Acanthosepion pharaonis. The record is from RNAcentral. Lineage: Eukaryota; Metazoa; Mollusca; Cephalopoda; Sepiida; Sepiidae.
GGUCGUAUCAUGUUGUAACACCGGUUCCCGUACGAUCACCGAAGUUCAGCAACGUCGAGCCUGAUCAGUACCUAGACGAGUGACCGCUUGGGAAUACCAGAUGUUGUAAG